CCUACGGGAGGCAGCAGUGGGGAAUAUUGCACAAUGGGCGAAAGCCUGAUGCAGCGACGCCGCGUGAGGGACGAAGGCCUUCGGGUUGUAAACCUCUUUCAGCAGGGAAGAAGCGAAAGUGACGGUACCUGCAGAAGAAGCGCCGGCUAACUACGUGCCGGCAGCCGCGGUAAUACGUAGGGCGCAAGCGUUAUCCGGAAUUAUUGGGCGUAAAGAGCUCGUAGGCGGUUUGUCGCGUCUGCUGUGAAAGCCCGGGGCUCAACCCCGGGUCUGCAGUGGGUACGGGCAGA
RNAcentral lists this ribosomal RNA (290 nucleotides) under uncultured bacterium. RNAcentral describes it as "partial 16S ribosomal RNA". It matches the Rfam family "Bacterial small subunit ribosomal RNA", at positions 338 to 640 of the family's 1533-position model. The record is from RNAcentral.